CUACGGGCCGCACCAGUGAGGAAUAUUGCACAAUGGGGGGAACCCUGAUGCAGCAACGCCGCGUGGAGGAUGACGCAUUUCGGUGUGUAAACUCCUUUUAUAUGUCAAGAAAAUGACGGUAGCAUAUGAAUAAGCACCGGCUAACUCCGUGCCAGCAGCCGCGGUAAUACGGAGGGUGCCAGCGUUACUCGGAAUCACUGGGCGUAAAGGAAGCGUAGGCGGGUUGGGAAGUCAGGUGUGAAAUCCUACAGCUUAACUGUAGAACUGCACUUGAAACUUCUAAUCUAGAGUAUGGGAGGGGGAGAUGGAAUUAGUGGUGUAGGGGUAAAAUCCGUAGAUAUCACUAGGAAUACCUAAAGCGAAGGCGAUCUCCUGGAACAUUACUGACGCUAAGGCGUGAAAGCGUGGGGAGCAAACAGGAUUAGAUACCCUCGUAGUC
Molecule: ribosomal RNA, 439 nt
Filed under: uncultured bacterium
Lineage: Bacteria
Description: partial 16S ribosomal RNA
Rfam family: Bacterial small subunit ribosomal RNA
Source: RNAcentral